This is a non-coding RNA of Drosophila melanogaster (fruit fly), 537 nucleotides long. The record is from Ensembl. Lineage: Eukaryota; Metazoa; Arthropoda; Insecta; Diptera; Drosophilidae.
AGGAAUUCCUAUUUAUCUUUAUCACUCGAUGUAGGGGAGUGAGUUAAGGGACAACAGAUUUUUUAUGCCCCACGUAGUGACGCAAGUUAUCCAACCCAUAAAUAUAGCACUCUACCAAAAGCUAAACAAAUUUCUAACUCCAAUCUCAGCAGCGUUGCCUUUGCCCUUGUUUUUGACGCCAACACUUAGCCACCCGAUAUAUAACCAAACUUAAAGUAAACACAACUUCCACUUGGAGACCAAGCCAUGGUCAACUUAUUGCGCUUCAGUCAAACUGCGUCAGUCAGCAAAUUUGAAUUUCACAAUGCUGGGAAAUAAUUUCAGUGUAAAGCUUUUAUCCUAAACAUAUUAAAAAGCUUAAGAGAAUCCUAAAGAAAAGCUUCUGGCCGAGGUUGAGUGGAUUAGGAUUAAGAUUUAGAAGAUCAGUCUGAGUCGGGACGAGAUCGUGAACAGCUUCAAAUCAAAGAUAAGCUAGUAAUAAAGUGUCUUGUAAUAGUAUAAGUGAGGAAGUCUGUCGCCGAAUAAAUAUUAAUUAAU